This 106-nucleotide ribosomal RNA is filed under the name uncultured bacterium. Its description in RNAcentral is "partial 16S ribosomal RNA". It matches the Rfam family "Bacterial small subunit ribosomal RNA", at positions 1379 to 1482 of the family's 1533-position model. The record is from RNAcentral.
CCUUGUACACACCGCCCGUCACGCCAUGGAAGUUGGGGGGACCUGAAGCCGGUGGGCUAACCCGCAAGGGAGGCAGCCGCCAAAGGUCAAUCCAAUGACUGGGGCG